This 419-nucleotide ribosomal RNA is filed under the name Clostridioides difficile. Its description in RNAcentral is "bacterial SSU rRNA". It matches the Rfam family "Bacterial small subunit ribosomal RNA", at positions 59 to 505 of the family's 1533-position model. Lineage: Bacteria; Bacillati; Bacillota; Clostridia; Peptostreptococcales; Peptostreptococcaceae. The record is from RNAcentral.
AAGUUGAGCGAUUUACUGCGGUAAAGAGCGGCGAACGAGUGAAUAACGAGUGGGUAAACUACCCUGUACACACGGAUAACAUACCGAAAGGAAUGCCAAUACGGGAUAAUAUAUUUGAGAGGCAUCUCUUGAAUAUCAAAGGUGAGCCAGUACAGGAUGGACCCGCGUCUGAUUAGCUAGUUGGUAAGGUAACGGCUUAACAAGGCGACGAUCAGUAGCCGACCUGAGAGGGUGAUCGGCCACAUUGGAACUGAGACACGGUCCAAACUCCUACGGGAGGCAGCAGUGGGGAAUAUUGCACAAUGGGCGAAAGCCUGAUGCAGCAUCGCCGCGUGAGGGAUGACUGCCUUCGCGACGUAAGAUUCUGUCCUCAAGGAAGAUGAUGAAUGUACUUAAGGAGUAAGCACCGGCGACCUACG